GACGAACGCUGGCGGCGUGCUUAACACAUGCAAGUCGAGCGGUAAGGCCCUUUCGGGGGUACGACGAGCGGCGAACGGGUAGAGUAACACGUGGGUGGACCUCGCCCUCCAGCUCUGGGAGUAAGCCUGGGAAACGUAGGGUCGUAAUACUGGAUAUGACUCCACGGUGCAUGUCGUGGGGUGGAAAGCCUUGUGCGGCUGAGGAUGGGCCCGGCGGCCUAUCAGCUUGUUGGUGGGGUGAUGGCCUACCAAGGCGACGACGGGUAGCCGGCCUGAGAGGGCGACCGGCCACACUGGGACUGAGACACGGCCCAGACUCCUACGGGAGGGCAGCAGUGGGGAAUCUUGCGCAAUGGGCGAAAGCCUG
This 367-nucleotide ribosomal RNA is filed under the name uncultured bacterium. RNAcentral describes it as "bacterial SSU rRNA". It matches the Rfam family "Bacterial small subunit ribosomal RNA", at positions 28 to 385 of the family's 1533-position model. The record is from RNAcentral.